AAGUCGUAACAAGGUCUCCGUAGGUGAACCUGCGGAGGGAUCAUUACAGGAUAUCUAUAAAAACCUCAAGUGCUUUGGGGGGGGGGAGACUGUUUCUUUUCCCGGAGCACUUGCAACCAAACGAUCGCAACUAGAAGAGAGAGAGAAUUUGGCUUGAUGAAAUAUAAGCGCUUGGCUGAGUGCAUAGUAUGGAGGAAUGGCAAAAGAAUACAACUUUCAACAACGGAUCUCUUGGCUCUCA
This 241-nucleotide unclassified non-coding RNA is filed under the name fungal sp. RNAcentral describes it as "partial internal transcribed spacer region". The stretch from base 1 to 46 matches the Rfam family "Eukaryotic small subunit ribosomal RNA", at positions 1786 to 1831 of the family's 1831-position model. Lineage: Eukaryota; Fungi. The record is from RNAcentral.